AGGGGGUGGGGGUGGGAGAGGAGGUUGAGAAUCAAAAUAUACCCCUGAAAAAAAUAAUGCCUUCCUCCUCCCUUGCUGUUCUGCAAGUACAUUGUCUUUGCAAUACUAUAGUUCGUCGAGUUUUCAUUAUAGGUUCAAGUUUACAUCUUACCUUCAUUUCUUGUUAAGGCUACUUGAUAUAUGCUUUAACCUUAUCCCAUUGGUCUUGGCCAUAAGAAUUAAGUUAUAAUCCAUCAAUAUCUAAAAACUUUUUACACUCAGUGCUCACCUACAAUGUUUGAGAAUUGAGUUAUAAGGUCUGAGCACUUUCUAUAAUCAAGGCUCAUCUACCAUUAUCACUCCUAAUUGAUGUCGAGUGUUUGCUUGAGGUAUCUUUAGAGAAGAUUUGGGCUUGCUCUAAAUGCGUGCAGUGCAUGCAUGCCAAGGAAGAACUUUGAAAGUCCUCGUAGACUCAUGAGGAAUCUAACAAAGAGAGAAGAAUGCAUACUUUGAUGUUAGGAUAUAUAUUCAUCUUGAAGAAAUAGGUAGAAGCCAAAAUCAUACCACUAUAAGGAAGAACUUUGAAAGUCCUCGUAGACUCAUGAGGAAUCUAACAAAGAGAGAAGAAUGCAUACUUUGAUAUUAGGAUAUAUAUUCAUCUUGAAGAAAUAGGUAGAAGCCAAAAUCAUACCACUAUAUUUUAGUUGAUGGAUAAUUAAAAUUAAGGUACGCCAAAUCGUCCCAAAUUGGGCGGUUUGGGGCAUAUAGAAUCAAACUGGCUAAGAACCGGGACGGUGUGACCACCCAAAAUGAAAUAGAAUUAGAACUUGUUAGAACUAGUCCAAAGUGGAUUGAACGAAUUAGUUCUUUCCGGUUUCGAAUAGUUUUGACUUGGUUUGCCCAGCCAAACCGAGCGCUGUUAUAAAACCCUGACCCUCCUCAUGUUUGUUCAAACGAUCUUUCUCUCUUUUCUAUCCUAUUUGAAAUCCUAGCCAUCGCCCUCUGCCUACACGCCUCCCGCACCACCACCACACCCCACCCCCCCUGCCGGGCACGAACCCUUUGCUUCACCCACCACCUAAUCACCUACUCAUCCUCCUGUGUUCAUGCCAUAGGGGACCUUGACAAUGGCUAUGGUCCCAAUCUAUGAGCUUUGGGCCUGAUCGGCAAGCUAUGGCCCCUGAUUGACGAGCUCUAACCUCCCAGUCCACUUCCUCUUCUCUCUCUCCCGCUCAUCCACUCUCACCGACAUCCUGUAGGUAUUGGUCAUAGUACUUGUUUUGCGAUUAAUCGGUCCUUUAUGAUUGUGCAAUAAUUGAAGGUGAUGUUGGAAAAUUUUGGAUGAUUUUGAUUAUCUCACAAAUCUUGGACCUCUAUUUUGUAAUAUGGGUUUGCUGAUUCGUCUAAUUUGUAACAGCAGUUUUGGCUUAGAUCACACAAUUUAACAUAUGGAUUACUUGGUGGAUUUCGGUGCUAGUUUGCUUGUUAUCCAACACCUGACCCAUUCUCAACUUGACAACUA
Molecule: long non-coding RNA, 1501 nt
Filed under: Phoenix dactylifera (date palm)
Lineage: Eukaryota; Viridiplantae; Streptophyta; Magnoliopsida; Arecales; Arecaceae
Description: long non-coding RNA (PDAC_LNC004447)
Source: RNAcentral